GUACAUAACUUAUUUUAAAUAAAAUAAAAUUUUAUAAAAUAUAAGGGUCUCUGAAAUGAGACUAACCCAAUCCCUUACCUAUAGUCUGGUCGGAAAAUGUGUCGAAAUCCUUAUUGAUUUAGUUCUACGCUCUUUUCUAAAUCUUAGCUACUGCUUGAUUAGUUUUCUCGUUUACAAUAGAAAAUACAUGCGUCAAACGAUGAACACUUUUUGAAAAUAGAUAUAGUACAGAAGCAGAUAGAUUUUUUUUACCUUUGACAUGCAAUUUUGGUCGCUGGAGUCACCACACGCAACCACAUGCGCAUCACUGGAAUUGUCAUACGCCACCACGUGUUUUGCACGUGCCUCUACACGUCACCACGUGCUAAACAUGCACCACUUGCUAGACCACCACGCGCCACGUCAACAUUUUCGUUCGCAGCAAACUAACUAGAAGUCUCUGUAAACCGCUCGUGCGCAUAGAUCUGACACGAAUUUGGUGAAACCAUGCCGAAAACGCUACGGAUCGGCAAAGUCGUGCUAUUGGCUACUGCGCUAUGAUCUUUUUCUCCAACUCUCACCACCGCACGCAGCUCCCUCCCUCUCUCCCUUUUUCCUCUCUGCACAGAUAUCUCUCCUCACACGGAUCUCACUCCUUGACCAGAUUCUGCCCGACACCAUGCCCAGAAUAUAUAUUGCAGAAGCUUUAACUUACAUAUAAGAUUGGCUUCAGGCUAAACCUAAAGUAUAUAUAAACAAAGAUCAAUAUGUCCAAUAUCUUGAUGAACUCAAUCAAGGAUUAUAUUUAUAAUUGGGCUGCAGGACCUGAAGGUUGUAGUAUGGCUAAGAGUUUCUGAUAUUGAUCUCUCGUGAGUGAAAGAGGCAAUUCCUCUAAAAUAUUGUACUGAGAAUUAAGCUUCACCCAAGUUUCUGUUACAUCUGAAUCUGACUCUGUAGCCUGAAUAUUUGUUUAAUAAAUACUGGAGACAUUCCUCUGCCUAGGCAUAUAACCUGGAGGAUAGCCAUGCUUUGUGUAACAUUUGUCAAUAUUAUGGCCAACAAACCCGCAAUGUGUACAUGUUGGUCUUUAUUAUUUUCUCCAGAAUUGUUUCUAUUAUGUUCAGGAGUAUAUACAUUUGUAGUUUUCUGCUGUG
Carica papaya (papaya) is the source of this 1133-nucleotide long non-coding RNA. RefSeq lists it as uncharacterized. NCBI's taxonomy places the organism in Eukaryota, Viridiplantae, Streptophyta, Magnoliopsida, Brassicales, Caricaceae. The record is from RefSeq and is a predicted model, not a curated record.